GUGAGGAAUAUUGGGCAAUGGGCGCAAGCCUGACCCAGCAACGCCGCGUGAAGGAAGACGGUCUUCGGAUUGUAAACUUCUUUUGUCAGGGACGAAUAAUGACGGUACCUGGCGAAUAAGCCACGGCUAACUACGUGCCAGCAGCCGCGGUAAUACGUAGGUGGCAAGCGUUGUCCGGAUUUACUGGGUGUAAAGGGCGAGUAGGCGGAUUUGCAAGUCAGGUGUGAAAGCCCGGGGCUUAACCCCGGGUCUGCAUUUGAAACUGCGGAUCUUGAGUAUCGGAGAGGCAGGCGGAAUUCCCGGUGUAGCGGUGGAAUGCGUAGAUAUCGGGAGGAACACCAGUGGCGAAGGCGGCCUGCUGGACGACAACUGACGCUGAGGAGCGAAAGCGUGGGGAGCAAACAGGAUUAGAAACCCGGGUAGUCC
Molecule: ribosomal RNA, 426 nt
Filed under: uncultured bacterium
Lineage: Bacteria
Description: partial 16S ribosomal RNA
Rfam family: Bacterial small subunit ribosomal RNA
Source: RNAcentral